RNAcentral lists this ribosomal RNA (16 nucleotides) under Lasiodiplodia hormozganensis. Its description in RNAcentral is "partial 18S ribosomal RNA". Lineage: Eukaryota; Fungi; Ascomycota; Dothideomycetes; Botryosphaeriales; Botryosphaeriaceae. RNAcentral also lists the same sequence under 1 other name. The record is from RNAcentral.
UCGGAAGGAUCAUUAC